GUUUUUGACAACUUCAUGUUAGGUACUGGAAUUUCAGGCCUAAGUUGUUUGUGGAGGAUGAGAAUCAAAUACAACAAAAGGAAAAUGCGGGAAAAUAAGGAGAGAGAAAAUAUGAGAGAGUGUGAGAACUUUCUGGAAUUCUUCAAAUUGCAAUACUGAUAUGAAAUUACAUCUCACGGACUGUUUUGUGCAGCUAAUAUUCUCAUAGAUACUAGCAACAGAAUGCUGACCUAAGAAACUGACAACUAACAGCCUACUAAUGAAUUGAUACUACCUACUAAUGACACUGUUUUAGGAACCUAUUGUUCGUAAUACUUCAUUUGGCAUUUUUUUUUGGGGAGCAACGUGAAGAAUCUUUCAGGUUAGGGAAUAUGAGGAAAGCAGGAAUGCCA
RNAcentral lists this unclassified non-coding RNA (392 nucleotides) under Hevea brasiliensis (rubber tree). Lineage: Eukaryota; Viridiplantae; Streptophyta; Magnoliopsida; Malpighiales; Euphorbiaceae. The record is from RNAcentral.